This 433-nucleotide ribosomal RNA is filed under the name uncultured bacterium. RNAcentral describes it as "partial 16S ribosomal RNA". It matches the Rfam family "Bacterial small subunit ribosomal RNA", at positions 29 to 507 of the family's 1533-position model. The record is from RNAcentral.
AACGAACGCUGGCGGCAGGCUUAACACAUGCAAGUCGAACGCACCUUUCGGGGUGAGUGGCAGACGGGUGGGUAACGCGUGGGAAUCUACCCUUCUCUACGGGAUAGCUCCGGGAAACUGGAAUUAAUACCGUAUACGUCCUGAGGGAGAAUGAUUUAUCGGGGAAGGAUGAGCCCGCGUUGGAUUAGCUAGUUGGUGGGGUAAAGGCCUACCAAGGCGACGAUCCAUAGCUGGUCUAAGAGGAUGAUCAGCCACAUUGGGACUGAGACACGGCCCAAACUCCUACGGGAGGCAGCAGUGGGGAAUAUUGGACAAUGGGCGCAAGCCUGAUCCAGCCAUGCCGCGUGAGUGAUGAAGGCCCUAGGGUUGUAAAGCUCUUUCAGUGGGGACGAUAAUGACGGUACCCACAGAAGAAGCCCCGGCUAACUUCGUG